UGCAAGUCGAGCGGUAAGGCCUUUCGGGGUACACGAGCGGCGAACGGGUGAGUAACACGUGGGUGAUCUGCCCUGCACUUCGGGAUAAGCCUGGGAAACUGGGUCUAAUACCGGAUAUGACCUCCUAUCGCAUGGUGGGUGGUGGAAAGAUUUAUCGGUGCAGGAUGGGCCCGCGGCCUAUCAGCUUGUUGGUGGGGUAAUGGCCUACCAAGGCGACGACGGGUAGCCGACCUGAGAGGGUGACCGGCCACACUGGGACUGAGACACGGCCCAGACUCCUACGGGAGGCAGCAGUGGGGAAUAUUGCACAAUGGGCGAAAGCCUGAUGCAGCGACGCCGCGUGAGGGAUGACGGCCUUCGGGUUGUAAACCUCUUUCAGCAGGGACGAAGCGCAAGUGACGGUACCUGCAGAAGAAGCACCGGCUAACUACGUGCCAGCAGCCGCGGUAAUACGUAGGGUGCAAGCGUUGUCCGGAAUUACUGGGCGUAAAGAGUUCGUAGGCGGUUUGUCGCGUCGUUUGUGAAAACCAGCAGCUCAACUGCUGGCUUGCAGGCGAUACGGGCAGACUUGAGUACUGCAGGGGAGACUGGAAUUCCUGGUGUAGCGGUGAAAUGCGCAGAUAUCAGGAGGAACACCGGUGGCGAAGGCGGGUCUCUGGGCAGUAACUGACGCUGAGGAACGAAAGCGUGGGUAGCGAACAGGAUUAGAUACCCUGGUAGUCCACGCCGUAAACGGUGGGCGCUAGGUGUGGGUUCCUUCCACGGAAUCCGUGCCGUAGCUAACGCAUUAAGC
Molecule: ribosomal RNA, 793 nt
Filed under: Rhodococcus qingshengii
Lineage: Bacteria; Bacillati; Actinomycetota; Actinomycetes; Mycobacteriales; Nocardiaceae
Description: bacterial SSU rRNA
Rfam family: Bacterial small subunit ribosomal RNA
Source: RNAcentral